UGGGGAGCCUGAGUGGGAGCAGGAGAGGAACCAUUACCCCAGAGAAUUCAGCCUGGAGCCAAAGCAAGUGGGAAAAGGUCACCUCAUCCACCAUGUCUUUAGGCAGAACUGAUUCAGCACACACCAACAUAGAAGACUUUUAUUAAAGUUCCCAGCAUGGCGUGCCCUCUCUCUGCCUCUUUGCAUCCUACCCAUCCUUCACCACCUCGCCACUCCAUAAAGCCCUCUCUGAUCACACCAGUCUGCAGCGAUCUCGCCCUGCUCUGAACACAUAAGCGCUCAUUAUCUGCACCACUCAUUUUGCAAUUAAUCGUGUACUGCCUUGUGACAUCGCUUCUAGUGCUUUGUCUGACUGUUAUCCAACUUCUCACCUGCUGACGGAUGGAACCCUUGAUGACAAUAUGAGUGACUGGACAGCAGGAGCUACAGCUCCUAC
This 436-nucleotide long non-coding RNA is filed under the name Homo sapiens (human). RNAcentral describes it as "non-protein coding lnc-DSTYK-1:2". Lineage: Eukaryota; Metazoa; Chordata; Mammalia; Primates; Hominidae. The record is from RNAcentral.